UGGGCCUUCGGGCCCGCAUUCCUAUGACGGAGAGUUUGAUCCUGGCUCAGAACGAACGCUGGCGGCGCGUUUUAAGCAUGCAAGUCGAGCGGCAAGGGCCUUCGGGCCCCUA
This 112-nucleotide ribosomal RNA is filed under the name Spirochaetales bacterium. RNAcentral's name for it is "partial 16S ribosomal RNA". The stretch from base 24 to 112 matches the Rfam family "Bacterial small subunit ribosomal RNA", at positions 1 to 90 of the family's 1533-position model. The record is from RNAcentral. Lineage: Bacteria; Pseudomonadati; Spirochaetota; Spirochaetia; Spirochaetales.